AACGAACGCUGGCGGCAGGCCUAACACAUGCAAGUCGAGCGGGGACUUCGGUUCUAGCGGCGGAAGGGUGAGUAACGCGGGGGAAUGUGCCCUUCUCUACGGAAUAGCCAUGGGAAACUGGGAGUAAAAACGUAUACGCCCGAGGGGGGAAAGAUUGAUCGGAGAAGGAGCAGGCCGCGUUGGAUUCGGUUGUUGGGGGGGUAAUGGCCUACCAAGCCGACGAUCCAUAGCUUGGUUGAGAGGAUGAUCAGCCACACUGGGACUGAGACACGGCCCAGACUCCUACGGGAGGCAGCAGUGGGGAAUCUUAGACAAUGGGGGCAACCCUGAUCGAGCCAUGCCGCGUGAGUGAUGAAGGCCUUAGGGUUGUAAAGCUCUUUCAGCUGAGAAGAUAAUGACGGUACCUGCAGAAGAAGCCCCGGCUAACUCCGUG
RNAcentral lists this ribosomal RNA (433 nucleotides) under uncultured bacterium. RNAcentral describes it as "partial 16S ribosomal RNA". It matches the Rfam family "Bacterial small subunit ribosomal RNA", at positions 29 to 507 of the family's 1533-position model. The record is from RNAcentral.